CACCGCACAGUUUACUCGCCCUUGCCGCCGCUGCUGUGUCUACCUGCGCUGCUGUUAGGCUUUUACAGACACUUUUUCGCCUUCGCCCUUCUUUCACUCUUCCCCACCCGCCACCAUGAAGUCCGUCUUGAAGGCUGGCUUGAAGAAGGACGUCGACGUCAGGGUGCCGUCGGCGGAGCUCACCAUCAAGCAGAUCCAGGACCAGAUCCCCGCCAAGUACUUUGAGCGCUCGGCGGUGUGGGGCAUGUACUACGUCUUUCGCGACAUUUGUCAGCUGCUUGUGGUGCACUGCAUCAUGUACCUCGCGGUGAUGCCAGCGCUGGCUGGUCUUGAAAGCCGUAUGUACGAAGCCGCUGGCGCCACCUGGGCAAGCUGGGCGCUCGUCAGCGCGGUGAAGCUGGCUGCGUGGAACGUGUUUUGGUUCGUGCAGGGCCUCAACGGCACUGCUCUAUGGGUGCUCGCCCACGAGUGCGGUCACCAAGCCUUCAGCCCGUACCGUUCGCUGAACAACGCAGUUGGCCUUCUCCUCCACUCAUCCGUUCUCGUCCCAUACCACAGCUGGCGCAUCACCCACGGCAACCACCACAAACACACAAACCACCUCACCAAGGAUACGGUGUUCGUGCCGCGCAAGGAGAGCAAGGUGAUCGACCUCCUCGAGGAGACGCCGCUGGUGAUGGUGACUAACAUGCUGAUCAUGUUUAUUUUCGGCUGGCCAGGGUACCUGUUGUUCAAUGUGGCGAGUCAGGACUACGGUCGCCGAGCCAACCACUUCGAGCCUUCGUCGCCGCUCUUUCGCAAGGAGGACGCGCACGAUAUUGUGCUGUCCGACAUCGGCAUCUUCGCCGCACUCACCGUUUUGGGCCUCUGCACCUACCAGUACGGCGCCCACAACGUCUUUUGCUGGUACGUCGUGCCGUACAUGUGGGUGAACUUCUGGCUGCUCUACAUCACCUACCUCCAGCACACCGACAUCCGCAUCCCGCAUUACAACCACGAGCACUGGACGUUUGUGCGCGGCGCCGUUGCGGCAGUGGACCGCGACUACGGCUUCCUCAUGAACAACUGGCUGCACCACAUCAACGACUCCCACGUCGUGCACCACCUCUUCAGCCAGAUGCCCUUCUACCACGCAAUUCAGGUGACGCGCCACCACAUCAAAGCCAUCCUCGGCGACAACUACGUGGAGGACAGGCGCCCGCUCAUUGACGCACUCUGCACGAGCUGGAAGGAGUGCGCCUACGUCGUCCCGUCCGAAGGCGUCAGCGUCUUUUACGGCUUCAACAAGAAGCGCGCGUAAUUUGGAGGAGAUGCAGACUUAGUCCACAUCCCUCCCCUGGCGUGCCACAGGAGCUAUUUCCCUCCGCUUUUUUUCCUCACUUCCAAUCCUUCUAUCGCUGCGCACUUCUCUCUGACCCUCACGCCGCAUGCUGCAAGUUUGCAUGCGCCUGCGACAUCGCAAAAAAAAAGUGCUGAGAUCGGUGAAGAGAAGAUCGGCUUAUGUGAGCAUCGAAUGGCGAGGCCCGGCGCCUUUCGAUACUGUCAGUGGGAGAAUGCAUAAUAACUUUUUUGCCUUUUCUAGCAUAGCCUUUCUGAGGUAGUGAGUGACGGAAAGACUGCUUCGCGUCUGCACAUUUUACCCUAUUUUCUUAUUUGUUUCAGAAUUUAGUGCUCCACUUUCCUCUUUUGUCUGCCUUUAGUGCUCGACGUAUAAUUCAUGUUUGCCAACCUCCCAAUUGUACACAUCAGCGUAAACGGUGCACAGACGACAGCGCACCGCGGCGGA
This 1786-nucleotide unclassified non-coding RNA is filed under the name Leishmania donovani. RNAcentral's name for it is "gene:LdHU3.33.4930(CDS-product:delta-12_fatty_aci d_desaturase)". Lineage: Eukaryota; Euglenozoa; Kinetoplastea; Trypanosomatida; Trypanosomatidae. The record is from RNAcentral.